This is an RNA transcript of Dunckerocampus dactyliophorus (ringed pipefish), 9165 nucleotides long. It is a transcript of the gene named centromere protein J-like, with no coding region annotated. The transcript is spliced from 15 exons. The record is from RefSeq and is a predicted model, not a curated record. Lineage: Eukaryota; Metazoa; Chordata; Actinopteri; Syngnathiformes; Syngnathidae.
UAUGAUUUCAUUCGCGCUCACGUUAAUAGUAAAGUCUCAGCUUCCCUCCAGUCCAGCAGGUGGCGGUACACCAUCUUUUAAAGACAUCCUUCGAUGGUAGCUGGCUGCUGUGGUUGACACCUUCCUUCUCGCGGGAUUUGUUUUGACGUGGCGGCAAGGUUCGAAGUGUGUGUGACAUUUGUCCAAACCCCGUAACCCGUCACCAUAAACGGUCGCUCAAGUCUCGGAUGAACAAAGGCCGCCAAAAUGUCAUCUCCGACCGCCGGACUUCCAUACUCCAAGGUGGACUUUUUGUCCCGCUGGAUGCCCAGCAGCACCAGGUCCGGUGUUAUCCUUAACCCGGGCCCUGACCUGGUGGAGUCUCUGCGGUACACGUCUCCCUCGUCCACCCCGCGACCUCCGCCCCUGGAGCCGUACGAGGGCGACCCCUGCACCUCAGACUUCGCCCCCUUGCUGGCUUCGACGGACAGCAGCUGCCUCGCCGUGCAUGACCUGUCCAGGUUACCUGGAGGAGACAGGCCUGGGAGUGACAGUCACAGGACCUCACAUGGAGAGGCGCACAGUUUGGCUGAGAUGUCCAACGACUCUCAGGAUGCUCCCAUGAGGAUGAAGCUGGAAGAGAUGAGGAGGUCGCAGCAGCAAAUGCAGGAGCAGCUUAAAGCCGACCAUCUGCGCAAGCUCCUUUGCCUCCAGAAGAAACGGCAGAGGCUGUUGGGAAUGAUAAACACAUCCCAUCUUUGCACAGAGGGAGCAGAGCAUGAGGCCUCCAGUCCCAGACAGAACCAGUACAGCCCUGCAGUCAACUGUCUCGUGAACCCACGGCAGAAAGAGACGCUCACAGGGCUGCAAAGUGGUGUUGAAAUGCAGGACAAGGAGGAUGGCACGAGGGCUGAUGCUACCGAGAAGCAACUUGAUGGGUCUUCAUCAAGACAAAGUGAAGACACGGCUUUUACUCACAACAACAGCAGAGAAAAUGAUUCAGUGCCGAAAGACAGACCAAUAAUGGCAGGCAAGCAGACGUUUGAGCAGUUACUGGAGGAGCAGCUGAGGUUGGAGGAGCAGAGGUUGAAAUCUGGCCGGCAACACCAGAAGCCAAAUGGAGGAGACUCCCCCCCCAAUAAAAGCACCUUUCUGAGGCAAGGCCAGGGUCUGUCUAGAUUUGCCAACAACUGCAAGUCCUCUUUCCACAAGGAGGACACAAUCACUGAUUCCAAAGCACCGACCCAGGCCAAAGUUGUUUCCCACAGCAAGUCUGGGCCCACAUUUAUCCAGAGAGGUGACAAAAAAGCAUCGCAGAGGCUUCCUGUCCAGCGUAACACCGCCACCCUCAACAAGGAAAACCGUCCGAGUGGCACCACUUCGCAACCCCAGGAUCUGAGAUUUGAACGUAACGCAGCGCAGAGGAAGGUGUUGGGCUGCCACCAGAGACCAAACACAGACAGAAACAAGGAUGUCUUCAUUACUCGACCCGGCAAGCAAGCGCAGCACAGUCAGCUCGCCAUGACAAAGCAGGUGGCUGCUGAGCAGAGUCCAAGACUGGAAUCGCCGGACGGGCGAGCGGUGGCCAGAGUUCCACGGGAACCGUUCGUGGAGAAGCUGGAGAGCAUGGGGCUGGGAGAGUUUGAACUCCUGGAGCAAGCGGCCGAGGAGCUGUCCUUCUCCUCCACCUCCUCCUUUGUCACCAAGGUUCUCCAGAUGGAUCAGCAGAACCGGAAGCUGCUCGGUGUGGCCGGGCCGGACCAGAGACGCUUCUCGUCCACACCCAUCAAGUCCCCGCCCACCAGGGAGCAGCGCCGCAGCCCUGGUGACGGUGGCAGUGUCGUUGUGAAGAAGAGCAAAGUGAGGUUUUACGACGGCGAGGACUCCACAUCAACGGCUGGCGGCGAAAUUCAAGAGCCGGAAGUUUUCGACUCGCCGCACGUUUCUCCCAGCGGCCUUCCAAGCUGCUUCGCCGUCCCGUCUGAGCCGGCAUACGACAGAUGCUCCUGUCAGGAGGAGGACGGCGCCAGUGAGGACGACGGCGAGAGCGACGACGUCAUCAGCAGCAUCAACUCCUCGCUGACUGAGGACAAAGACGCGCCGCCGGUCCAAAUCGUGUUUAAUGACGAAGACACGUGGAGCGACCUUGACGACACGGCGGUCAGUGCGGCUGACCUGGUUUCCACAGGAGCGGCCAAUCAGGAGCCAGAAGCUCCUCCUUCCGAACUCAUGAUGACACUGUUCCCGUCACUCAAGCCAAAGACCCAGAAUGCAACUCUACCUCCGCCGCCCACCGAGGACAGGAAGACAGACAAGGAGGCCGGCCUGUGUGUCCAUCCCACACAGGUGAGGGAGAUGGUGGCCCAGGUGGAGAUGGAGAUCGAGCGCUUCCAGAAGAAGAACGUGGCGCUGGCCAAGCUCAGACAAGAGAUCGAGAAGAACCAGAAGAGCCUCAGGAUGGAGUGCGAGGCGUUUGAGAAGCAGAGAACAGAGCAUCUUGCUCACUUUGAGGACUACAAGAAAGAAGAAACCAGGAAGCUGCAGAGGGAACGCAAACUGUUUGAGAAAUACGCCACGACCGUGCGAGCCACGCCCAACAGGAAAGAACAAACGGAGAUCCAGGCGCUGAAGGAGCAGCUGAGCUCCCUGCAGGAGGAGCUGAGGAAGAAGGAGAGCCGCUGGUCGUGCACGCACACUCGCCUUCGCCAGCAGAUUGACUCUCUCAGCCAGGAGAAGCUCGAGCUGAAGGACCAAGUGUGCACGUGGGAGCUGCUUCAUCUCAGACACUAAAUGCUCAACUGCUGUGUUUUGCUGCCAUCUUAUAAAUAAAAUCUUGCCUCAAGCAAGAGAAAAGCUUCCUUCAUGAAGAGUUAUGCUCUAUUUUUACUCUUACUUGUAUGACAUCGGCCGCACGGUGGACUUGUGGUUAGCAUGUUGGCCCACAGUCAGGAGAACAAGAUGAUCUGCGUUUGAAUCUCCAUUGGGUAUCUCUGUAUGGCGUUUGCAUGUUCUCCCCGUUUUCUCCGGGUAAUCCGGUUUUCCUCCCACAUUCCAACAUCAUGCAUGUUAGGUUAAUUGGAGACUUGUCCAUUGGUAUGAAUGUGAGGGGGUACCCCGCUUCUCGCCCAAAUUCAGCUGGGAUAGUCUCCAGCAUACCCGCGGUGAGGAUAAGCGGCAUAGACGAUGGAUGGACAGUCCUCUGGACUCCAGAGGGAGCAUCAGCCCUCCAAGCUGCAGUACUGCAGCGGCCGCUAGAGGGAACUCCAAGGACAGCAGGCAUCCUGACCACGUGCCCAAAGGCCCCUCAUCAUCAUCACAGAUGUCUGCCAAAAAGAACAUGUCAACCAGCCAGCCUAUUCCAGAACAUUCACAUAGCUGCUCUCCGCCAAGAGCUGUGACGCCAAGUGAACCAACCAAAUGCAGCGAAGAAGAAGAUGCUCUGGAAGUCAUCACGUAUGCUGAUGGUGAGGUCAGCAACGAUCCACACUUGCUUCUAGAUAACUUCUACAUCUUCAUCGCGGUUCCCCUUUUCGUGGAUUCGCUCUUUCGUGGAUUGCUUUUGAAGUGCACUUUUUUUUUAUUUUUUAUUUUUUUACAGUUUAGGAACGCGCAUUGUUUUGGGAGACCUUGUGGUGUAUUAGAGUACCGUGUAGUAGAGGGCCGUGAGUCUGAGACCCCUGCUGUAGACCAUUGUCAAUCAAUCUCCUUCGUGCAAGACUGCCUGUUUCCUGUUGUAUGAUCGCUAGCAGCUAGCGAUCAUACAUGCUGAAGUUGUGCAGCUGUAGGGUGCGUGGAAUACUGUAAAUGAAUCUUCGGUUCAUGGAGGAUGACGAGGAGGGAUAUGUUUGAACAAGGCUUAAAAAACGCUACAGCCUAACGGUGCCAGGACAAGCCACGGUCAGAGGCGGGAGUCACUUAUUUCUUGUGUCAAUCUCCUAAAUUGAUCAUUAAAAUUAAAUUGAAAUAUGAGCUUUGAGAGUGUUUAAACAAGAGAGAAAUACGAUAAAAUGUUUUUACACUUUUCUCAGACAGUCAUUAAGUAUAUUGUGAGGGGUUUUACAGCCUUAAAACAUACUGUAUAUAAUAACUGUAGAAAAAAAACAGCAUUUUAAACACCUUAAACGCCUAACCAAGCCAAAAACUGGAAGAUCUGGAGGAGUACAUCGACGGGUGCUUCAAACGCGUAGUUAUGGAAAAAUCACCGAAGACACCAAACCCCAAACGCAGUCGCCCGGAGGACUCACCUGGAGAAAUAUCUCCGCCAGGCACUGACAUCAGAGACAUCCUUGAGUCCAUCGACAAGAGGCUGAUUUGCUUGGACGGCCGCCUCGCUCUCGUUGAGGUGCUUCACAAAGAAUUCCAGGCCAUCCGUGAAUCUCUGGAAUUCAGCCAAAACCAAAUCGUCUCCUUGGUUACGGAGAACGCCACCCUCCGCGACUCGGUGAAGUCCCUCACCGACGGAGUUUCACAACUCGUCCAAGAAAAUAAGACCAUGAACGAGACGAUCUUAGACCGCCAGGCCCGGAGCAUGAGGGACAAUCUGGUCUUCGCGGGAAUUCCUGAAAAAUCUGAGGAGGACCCGGAAGAAUCGGUGAGGGCCUUCAUGGCGCAACAACUCAAACUCCCAGCGGACGCCAUCCAAAACAUCAUUUUUCACCGCGUUCACCGCCUGGGAGCCAAGAAGCCAGAGAACCGUAGGCAGAGACCCAUCGUGGCGAAAUUUGAACAUUUCAAGCAGAAGGAACAGGUGAAGGGCCGAGGCCGGGAGCUGAAGGGGACGGACUUCAGCGUCAACGAUCAAUUCCCCCGAGAAAUCCUCGACAGACGCCGACGCCUAUUCCCUGUUCGGAGGAAGUUCAUCAACGAGGGAUGCCGAGCUGUCAUCACGGUGGAUAAACUCUUCGUCAAUGGACAACUUUACCGUGACCGGGAAGUAACACCGUGGCUGUAUCGAUAUGGUAACUAAUGAUCUAUCUCAACCUGGUAACUUUUCUUUCUAUCUCGCAGCGCGCACACUUGUAGCAUUUGCAUGUUACUCUCCGCUCCCACUUUACCCCCCCCGUUUUUUUUUUCUCUCUCUAUCCCACUGCAUGUAUGCACAGCCUUUCUUCUUUUUUGUCCUUUUUUUUCUUCUUCUUUCUUCCUCUUCUAUUCCCCCUCUGUCUCACGUUUUCUCCCUUCCUCAUAUUGUCACAUAUCCUCUUGUCUGCCAGCUGUCUCCUUCAAUGAGCAUCUCUUCACAGUGACAUCAUACACCCUCAAAGUCCAAACCCAACCAAAUUCAAACUAUUCACACUAAUACACACACGUGCACGCAUUCUCCUACACAUACACAUCAUAUUCUACUAUUGAUAUGGAUAUCACAACUACUCACAAGCAUGCUCAUCUCACUUAUGCAUAAACCCACAUCACGUCCUCACUUUAGUUGGCUUAGUUCAUUCAGGAUUACUAUGUUACACUUUGCCUAUGUACAAAUUAAGCAUAAAUUUAAAAGUACUGUAUAUACUCCCAUGAAUUUUACUUCCAGGUACACAUACUUCACAUUUGAUCUUGUUUACACACACAUCACCAAAAGCUAGUCUAGGAUGAACUCACUACAGUUUGUCACUUGGAAUGUCAGGGGAGUUGGGUCAAUAGAAAAAAGACAACAUUUUUUUUAAUCAUUUGAAGAACACCCAAGCAGACAUUGUCUUAUUACAAGAGACUCACAUGUCCAAGUCAGCUGUCCAUACACUUCACUCACCACAGUUCCCACACACAUAUUUAGCAAGUUACAACUCCAAACAGAGAGGGGUAGCUAUUUUAAUUAACAGGAGGGUGAAUUUUACACUCCACAGCACUAUUACAGACACAGAAGGGAGAUAUAUAUAUAUAAAUGAACAUAUCUGUUGAUAAUGUACAUUUCUGCAUUGCCAACAUUUAUGGUCCGAAUGUUGACGACCCCUCCUUCUUUCACACCUUUUCUUCUCUCUCUGCACAUUUGAAUUCAAGUAUGAUCUUGGGAGGGGACCUCAACUUAGUAUUUAAUCCAGAAGUGGACACGUCUAGCCCAGCUGGGAGACAUCGUGAGUCUCAAUCAACAUCGAUACUGAAGAAAUACAUGAAUGAUUUUGGCCUUUGUGAUGCUUGGCGCUCUUAUCACCCUACCCACAGGGAAUAUACUUAUUUCUCACCAGUGCACCACACCUACUCUCGUAUUGACCACUUUUUGACAAGCAAUUCAAUCAUAUCAGACAUUUCAAACAUUCACAUACACCCUAUCACCAUUAGUGAUCACGCCCCAGUUUCUCUUUUUCUCACUAACCAAACAAUGAGCGCUCCUACUAGAUGCUGGAGAUUAAAUACAUCAUUACUAAAAGACUCAGACUUCCUAAAAUACUUUGAAAGAGAGUGGACAAUGUUUUUAGACUUUAAUGACCAACCCGGUAUCUCGGCUAGUAUUCUCUGGGAGGCAGCAAAAGCAGUAAUGCGCGGAAAAAACAUUUCAUAUUCAUCAUAUAAGAAAAAGAAAGAGAGAUUACUAGAAUCAGAGUUGGAGAAAAAAAAUCCAAAUCCUCGAAGCAGCUCAUGCUGACUCACAAGAUGAGCAUAUUCUAAGUAACCUAAGGAAACUGAAACUAGACUUAAAAGAAAUUACUGACAAGAAAAUUCAGUUCCAACUGCAGAGACUACGCUUGGAAAAGUUUGAGCACGGCAAUAAACACGGAAAAUACUUAGCUAACCAACUAAAAGUCAAUAAAGAAAAAAGCUCUAUCUCCUCCAUUAGUACCCAUUUCAUUAAUAGAACUCCAUAACGCUCUACACCGGUUGCCGAAUAACAAAGCACCACGAACAAAGAGGUACUAGGCAAGGGUGUUCACUCUCUCCCUCACUAUUUGCUAUCUUUAUCGAGCCUCUUGCAGCUGCAAUUCGACAACAUAUAAAUAUUAAAGGGAUCCACACCACAAAUGUUCAUCAUAAGAUAAGCCUUUAUGCUGAUGAUGUAUUACUCUUCCUAGAUAAUUCACAUUCUUCACUUCACGAAUCUAUCUCACUCAUUAACAGUUAUAGCACCUUCUCAGAUUACUCCAUUAACUGGUCUAAAUCCACAGUACUGCCCAUUAACUUUGGUUUCCAGAGCACCCCCUCUAUACCACUGUGUUCAGGGAACAUUAAGUAUUUGGGUAUUAACAUUUCCUCCAACCUGUCAGACCUGAUCCGCUUGAAUUAUACUCCACUAUUGAAGUCAAUAGAGGAUGAUCUUGCACGUUGGAGAACCUUGCCCAUCUCACUUACAGGUAGAGUAUCCACCGUGAAAAUGAUGAUUUUACCAAAGGUUAAUUAUCUGUUUCCAUGAUCCCCACCAAACCAUCUAUAAUUUGGUUCAAGUCAUUAGAUUCAUAUAUAAAUACAUUUCUUUGGAAAAAUAGGCCAGCACGAAUAAAUCUCAAAACGUUACAAAAAUCUAAAGAAUAUGGGGGCUUAGAACUCCCAAACUUCUCCAACUACUUCCUUGCAAACAGGUUACAGUAUAUCUUAAAAUGGAUCAAACCUAACCCAUUGGAUUAUUUAUGGCUAGACAUAGAACAAUCACUUAGCCACGAAAUCCCAAUUUGUAACCUGCCCUUCAUUAGCCAAAUCCUCCGGAAAAAUAAUUGUUUUAAAAGUAUAAAUAUAAGCACCACUCUGACAGCUUGGUGGGAAUUUCUAAAAAUAACAAAAUUCUCGCUCACUCCUUGCCAAUACACUCCCGUCUGGAAUAAUCCUGACAUCUUGCUUAGAAAGAAACCAUUAAAUUUCCCAACAUGGCACGAAAAAGGAAUAAGUUAUAUAAAAAAUAUAAUUAUAGGAAACAACUUUAUCUCAUUUAACGACCUUGUUACACAGUAUGGAAUAAAUCAUAACAAAUUUCUUGAAUACAUACAAAUUAAGUCUAUAAUUAAAGUAAGUUUCAGGUCUAUAUCAUGGGAAAGCAAUACCACUAUUGACCAAUUUUUUUUAAAUAUCUGCCCCUAAAACACUAUCUAAAUUAUGUGUUCUAUAAUUUGCAUGCCAGCAGAAACACUCCAUUUCUGUCGCCAUGGCUUGGCAAGCUCCACAUUUACACCACCGAGUCAUGCCGGUGUAAUGACCCCGCCCCACCCUAUAUGCUAUGAAGUUUUACUCUCUCUUCCUACUGGCUCAGCUUCUAAAACCUGUAGUGUAGGUCAUCCUCCGUACAUUUUGGCUAAAAAAAUAAGGUUCUGGAUCCUCAUUUGUUGAAAAAUGGUCGCAGGCGGAAGCUCUCACGAAGUCUGCAAUGAUUAGUAGUUGCAAACAGACACGCUUGACACGCUGCAAUUGUUGCCGAAAUUAUUUUAUUAUAAUUAUUAUACACACAGUGUAUAAUAGCGCCCUCUGUUGUACGCUUGGAUGCAUUUCACUGCAGCGCACAAUUUUCUGAGAUCUGCUUAUUUUGUGGAGGAGUUGUCAGUAAAUCUUGCGUGAACUGCAAUCGGUAGGUAAGUUUUCCAUGGUCUGUUCCGGUCAAGUUUUCUUACGAUGUUGACGUGAUUCAACACAUAACUGUUAACAUUGGAAGCUCUCUGUAGCAGCAUGAGUGGGAAUGUAAACCAAGGAGCCUUGAGUCAAAAGAAUGCCAAUCAGCAUCCACUUCCGUAUUAUGCCCUGCGCGUGUUUGGCCGCCAUGAUGGGGAGCAGAAUCCAGAAACUAUGCAUUGAAAACAUGUCCUCAACACACUGCUCAGCUAUUAAUUGCUCAAAUAGAUGGUCUAAAAGCAGUGGCAGAGCUAUCCCCGAACCAGACAAAGGCAUCCCACAAGCCAGGCCACCCCGGGCGAGCCACUGCGACGGCCAGGUCCCCGGCCACAACCCCGACCCUGGCGGGCAGGCGCUGUGGAACAGGCACGAGGCACCCCAAUCCAGCCUGCCCCACCCGUGUAUGUGAUAAGGUGUGAUUGUGUCUAUGAUGCAAUUAAAAAAAUAAUAAAAUAAAACAAAAGGGGACAGCUAUGAAGAGCUGGUCUCUGUGUCCCUGAGGGGUGUAUCUGUGUGCAUGUAGUAUAUGAUAGGGGUAUAUGUGGAUGAUAGCUAAUGAUGCAGUUAAAAUCGGGGGACAGCUGCCGCUCGGAGGGCCCCUCACCUGACCAGCUCCCCCAAACCCUAAGUGUCUACUGUGCGAUUAAAAUUGGGGGGCAGCAGGUCAGU